Molecule: ribosomal RNA, 504 nt
Filed under: uncultured bacterium
Lineage: Bacteria
Description: bacterial SSU rRNA
Rfam family: Bacterial small subunit ribosomal RNA
Source: RNAcentral
AAAGGAAUUGACGGGGGCUCACACAAGCGGUGGAGCAUGUGGCUUAAUUCGAAGCAACGCGAAGAACCUUAUCCUGGGUUUGACAUGCUUGGAUGCCCAUCCUGAAAGGGAGUAGGCUGCUCUUCGGAGUGAAACUUGCACAGGUGCUGCAUGGCUGUCGUCAGCUCGUGUCGUGAGAUGUCGGGUUAAGUCCCUUAACGAGCGAAACCCUUAUCGUUAGUUGCCCACGCGUUAUGGCGGGAACUCUAACGAGACUGCCGGUGUUAAACCGGAGGAAGGCGGGGAUGACGUCAAGUCCUCAUGGCCUUUAUGCCCAGGGCUGCACACGUGCUACAAUGGCGCGCACAGACCGAUGCGAUACCGCAAGGCGGAGCAAAUCGGAAAAAUCGCGUCCCAGUUCGGAUUGUAGGCUGCAACUCGCCUACAUGAAGUUGGAAUCGCUAGUAAUCGCGGAUCAGCUAUGCCGCGGUGAAUAUGUUCCUGAGCCUUGUACACACCGCCCGU